AUGGACGCCCCGCAGGCUGCCCGGCCCUCCAGCCAUCCCUCCCUGCUGCGGUUCCUCAGAAGCCUCCUUGGGUACCCGCGGAGCUCAGUGGGGGCACAGGAGCCCCAGGCAGAGCAGCAGGAGCAGGGUGCUGCCGGAGGGUCCCACAGCUGGCAAACAGAGCGGGUUGAGCCCACCCGAGGGGGGAUCCCAUGCCAGGAGCACUGCGAGGAUGAGGAGGGAGACAGCACGGAGCUGCUGCUGGGGGAGCUGCGGGAGGUCAGCCUGCAGGGAUCGCUGGGCAGCAGCACCAGCAGGAGCUGCCUGACCACCAGCACCAGCGACGUGGAACCGGUGGUGGAGGGCGAUGGGAUGGAGGCUCCUGGUGGCACCGUGGCCCUGCAGUGCAGCGGGGCAGCUGGCGAGGAGGAGGUGGCUGCAGAUGAAGCUGUUGUUGGCAGAGUUCUGGAGAUGGAUGAAUUCCUUCAAGGUCUGGGUGCUGCUGAUGAAGACACCUGCUCUGCAAGCCCUGAGCCAAUGUUUCCGAUGGAUCUUGACACUGAAUGGGAGAAAGGGCAACUCUUAAAAGCAAAUAAAGGGGCAGGAUCCCCAAAAGCAGAGCUGUCCCUUUGGAACAGGUUCAUCAACGUGAACAGACACCAGUGGACCUUGCGUAAGGCUCGUGCCUCCAGGAGCUCGAUGGAGCUGGAAAGUGAGGAGCAGCCGCUCCUGCGGGCAGCUGAGAUCAGACCCACGAGCCCUGAGCUCCCCGUGCUGCCCGCAGAGCCCUGUGCGGCGCUGCCGGUGUACAGGUUUUCCAGGAGCAGAGCGGCCGCUGGUGGCUUUGGGAGAAGCCAUGCAGAGCUGGGAGCGAACGGAGCAGGAAUGCCUGGAGAAGGCUGAG
RNAcentral lists this long non-coding RNA (883 nucleotides) under Coturnix japonica (Japanese quail). RNAcentral describes it as "lncRNA (ENSCJPG00005018928.1)". Lineage: Eukaryota; Metazoa; Chordata; Aves; Galliformes; Phasianidae. The record is from RNAcentral.